RNAcentral lists this long non-coding RNA (735 nucleotides) under Setaria viridis. Its description in RNAcentral is "long non-coding RNA (SVIR_LNC010476)". Lineage: Eukaryota; Viridiplantae; Streptophyta; Magnoliopsida; Poales; Poaceae. The record is from RNAcentral.
GGAGUUUCAUAGGUAUUUAAUCCCAUGCCACAUCAGCAAAACUGCUAACUUGGCAAGUUAUUUAUGAGGAGAGAGGAGAGGGGAGUUUCAUCCCCAUGAAACCCACUCGGCACAGUUAUCUAGUCCCAUGAAAUUCAAUGAAACUUGCACUGAACAUGUUAUGGUUUCAUGGCAUGACACAUCUAAUCAUAGGACAACACAAAAAUUAAAUGAUUUAGGCUAUCUAUGCAACUGUGUAAUGAAACUAUGCACUGAAAGUGACGGUUUCAUUUCAUUGAAAAGCUGACAUAGUACUAUUGGUAAUAGUGCGAUGAAAUCAUGCACUGAGAAUGCCUAAUGAACACCCUUAAAACCAAACUAACCAGAGUGUAUUAACGAAGGACGGCCCCUCCUCUAAAAUCCUAGCUUCACCCCUUAAGUACGGAGUUCAAUAACAACAUGAGCUAGUUUUGUAUAUGUACUUUUAUGGUGCUAUGGGUAUCUUAUUGAUAGAUUUAGUAUGACCAUCAUCAUCAGCAAUCUCAGGGCUUGUGGUCGGAGCGCGAACACCCUAUGGUGGUGAGGAUGAGUGGCAUUAAAUGAUAUUGUUGUGCCUCGCCACGAUACCGUCCAGCCUACCAUCACAUCCCAUCAAGGCAGGUAGUGUGGCUUCCUCAUGUAGCCAACAAGAUAGAACCUUAACGCCCCCCUCCCAAAAAAAAACAAUUUUCCAACACAAUGGCGACUAUGAGAUCA